This 567-nucleotide ribosomal RNA is filed under the name Triticum aestivum (bread wheat). RNAcentral's name for it is "partial small subunit ribosomal RNA". Lineage: Eukaryota; Viridiplantae; Streptophyta; Magnoliopsida; Poales; Poaceae. The record is from RNAcentral.
AUGAGGAAGGCGGUGGUCGGCAGCGUCUACUCCAAUGGUGCUGGCUGGGUAUCGGUGGCGCAGUCUAAAGUUAUCAUGGAGUAUUUGUUUGAUUUUUCAAAGCAGCUUCAGGUUGAUUUCGUCAAGUUUUUCUCUGCUGACCCUCUUGGACAUCGCAGCGACGUCAGGUGUUUCCUACUGGAUUUUGUUGGGGAAGUCUUUUUCAUCACAAAGGGAUGGGAACGUGUUGCGGUUCUCGGCAUUGAGCCAAAGAAGAAACAGGCGUUCAUGCCCGUGAAGACUUUCGGCAGGUACACCAUCUUCAUCGGCCAUCAAAGGUGCCUGGUUGUUGAUGCCGCCAAGUUCCCAUCCGUCGAGGCAGACUGUGUCUACUACACCCAAGACGUUGGUAAAUUUGCUUUCAUCUGGAAGCACAACAUCAGAGAUGGGAAAGACGAGAGGGUAUAUGAUGUCGUCAAUUUCAUCAAGGAGGACAAGCAGUUUGUCUCCUCCGGCCCCCGUCCUUUCACCAUCAUUCAUCUUCUCUCGAGCUACACGAUCAACCUCAGCAAUUCUGAAUUGGUCUGA